UGUUCUGUAUCUCUCUUGUCCAGCUGCAAGAAGCAUACAUGACUUUACAAAAUCAAUCAAGCAGUGCAAAUUAAAAUAAAUUUCUUUUAUAUUCUACAUUAAUUGAUUUUCAAAAGAAGAAAAUUAGAAAGAUCUAGGCAGUAGUCUGAGCAACAAAUAAUUACUAUAAUUAACAUAAAAAAGAAUUGUAAGUUUAAAAGAGUGCAGACUUGCUGUAAUCAAAUGAAUUUUUAAUUUACCUUUUUAUAGAAUUUUUAUUUCAUUAUAUUCCAUUUACAUUCAAUAUCCUAGAAAAAGUGCUGUAAAUACACACGAAUUCAAUUGAAAAUCAUAUACAAACCAGUGUCCCAAAUUGUAAGCUUCAAUUCCUUGCCACCUACUUUUAUAUACUUGAUCUUCAUAUCCACACCAAUGGUGGGAUCAAGCUCUGUAAAAGCAUCAGAAAUGAAACUGAGAAGAAGAGUGCUCUUGCCAACUCCACCAUCACCUACCAUAAUGAUCUUGAAUGAGUGAUCAUACUUCCUGCUUUGCCCUGAAGAUGAUCCCAUAAUUAAUUACUCAAUCCAAGAAAGAAACUUUAGCUCUCAAGCUUUAUCUUUGGAUGGAAA
RNAcentral lists this unclassified non-coding RNA (608 nucleotides) under Hevea brasiliensis (rubber tree). The record is from RNAcentral. Lineage: Eukaryota; Viridiplantae; Streptophyta; Magnoliopsida; Malpighiales; Euphorbiaceae.